Molecule: long non-coding RNA, 2367 nt
Organism: Lates calcarifer (barramundi perch)
Lineage: Eukaryota; Metazoa; Chordata; Actinopteri; Centropomidae
Exons: 5
Source: RefSeq, a predicted model, not a curated record
CUUCCUGUGGCGGAGCGUAGAGAGGUACAGAUUAAAACCAACGCCUGAGGCCUUGGCUCGGUUUGUUAGUGGAGUGAGAACACUUAAUCACCGAAGAAACCUGGAUACUAAAAACAACCUUUGCAGCUUUUUUGUCCGACGCAAGUGGGGCUGGACGCUGAACAUACCUGCGGCAUGAAGGUGUCACCACUUCAUCCACGACUUCGUCCAUGAUCGCAGAGACAUGGUCCAUGAUCGGAGAGACAUUGUUGAGGAUGAGGGAGACAUCGUCCACGAUCAGAGACGUCGUCUGUGAUCACAGAGACCUUGUCAAAGAUGAGAGAGACGUUGUCCAUGAUCAGAGACAUUGUCCCAUGCUUCGUAGAGACCUUGCGAUAGAAUCGGCGGAGACGGGGGUCACCGAUUUGACGGCACUGCCCGCGAUCAUGGAGACAUUGUCAAUGGUCAAAGAGACAGCGUCUAGGAUCUCAGAGACAUCGUCCACGAUCACAAAGACACUGUCCAUGAUCACAGAGACUUUGUCCAUAAUCUCAGAGACAUUGUCCGCGAUCACAGAGACGUAGUCCACGAUCAGAGUCUUCAUACAGUGAAGAAGUUCUUCAAGACCAGGACAGAGGCCUCCAGGUGUCACCACUUCGUCCAUGAUCGCAGAGACAUGGUCCAUGAUCGGUGAGACAUUGUUGAGGAUGAGGGAGACAUCGUCCACGAUCAGAGACGUCGUCUAUGAUCGCAGAGACCUUGUCAAAGACGAGAGAGACGUUGUCCAUGAUCAGAGACAUUGUCCCAUGCUUCGUAGAGACCUUGCGAUAGAAUCGGCGGAGACGGGGGUCACCGAUUUGACGGCACUGCCCGCGAUCAUGAAGACAUUGUCAAUGGUCAAAGAGACAGCGUCUAGGAUCUCAGAGACAUCGUCCACGAUCACAAAGACAUUGUCCAUGAUCACAGAGACUUUGUCCAUAAUCUCAGAGACAUUGUCCGCGAUCACAGAGACGUAGUCCACGAUCAGAGUCUUCAUACAGUGAAGAAGUUCUUCGAGACCAGGACAGAGGCCUCCAGGUGUCACCACUUCGUCCAUGAUCGCAGAGACAUGGUCCAUGAUCGGUGAGACAUUGUUGAGGAUGAGGGAGACAUCGUCCACGAUCAGAGACGUCGUCUAUGAUCGCAGAGACCUUGUCAAAGACGAGAGAGACGUUGUCCAUGAUCAGAGACAUUGUCCCAUGCUUCGUAGAGACCUUGCGAUAGAAUCGGCGGAGACGGGGGUCACCGAUUUGACGGCACUGCCCGCGAUCAUGAAGACAUUGUCAAUGGUCAAAGAGACAGCGUCUAGGAUCUCAGAGACAUCGUCCACGAUCACAAAGACAUUGUCCAUGAUCACAGAGACUUUGUCCAUAAUCUCAGAGACAUUGUCCGCGAUCACAGAGACGUAGUCCACGAUCAGAGUCUUCAUACAGUGAAGAAGUUCUUCGAGACCAGGACAGAGGCCUCCAGGUGUCACCACUUCGUCCAUGAUCGCAGAGACAUGGUCCAUGAUCGGAGAGACAUUGUUGAGGAUGAGGGAGACAUCGUCCACGAUCAGAGACGUCGUCUAUGAUCGCAGAGACCUUGUCAAAGACGAGAGAGACGUUGUCCAUGAUCAGAGACAUUGUCCCAUGCUUCGUAGAGACCUUGCGAUAGAAUCGGCGGAGACGGGGGUCACCGAUUUGACGGCACUGCCCGCGAUCAUGAAGACAUUGUCAAUGGUCAAAGAGACAGCGUCUAGGAUCUCAGAGACAUCGUCCACGAUCACAAAGACAUUGUCCAUGAUCACAGAGACUUUGUCCAUAAUCUCAGAGACAUUGUCCGUGAUCACAGAGACGGAGUCCACGAUCAGAGUCUUCAUACAGCAAAGAAGUUCUUCGAGACCAGGACAGAGGCCUCCAGGUGAUUCACAGCUUUUCAUCAAAUGUCCAACACAGAGCACGGACAUUAAACUGUUUAUGUUCAGUAUUCAGAUUAUCAGAAAAGUGUUAUAGUAGAAGUAAUCUGCUAUAUAAAAAAUAAUGUUUAGUAAUCUGUAUCAAUAGAAGUAAUGUUAAAGUAAUUAAGCAAUAAGUAACAUGUAAUAGUCAAAGUAAUCUGUUACUAGCUGUAGUUUGCAACAGUAAUCUGUAAAUAUAGAUGUCUUAUGUGAUAAGAAAAGUAAUAUGUAAUGGUAAAAGUAGACACACUAGACUACACUGUACAAAACAAUAUCAAGUCUACAAAUAAAAUAUUGGAGGGGGUGUUCAUUAGUGUGUUCAUUUUAAUGGUUGGUCAAAGGGUGAUUUUAAAAAUAUCUUUACAGUGUAUAACAGUUAUGUUUUCAUGGUUAAACUGUUGAUGAGGGAG